Molecule: long non-coding RNA, 3364 nt
Filed under: Mus musculus (house mouse)
Lineage: Eukaryota; Metazoa; Chordata; Mammalia; Rodentia; Muridae
Description: RIKEN cDNA C530043A13 gene
Source: RNAcentral
CUCUGAACCUAUAGGGACUAUUGCUAUUCAAACCACCACAUUAGGGGAGAUUAAAAUACCUGCAUGAAAGUUUUAUGAGGUGGUGAAGAUCAAAAGUGGAAGUAAUUCACUGGAUGUUCUCUGCAGGCAAGCAAUCUUUCAAACAAAGAAACAAACAAACAAAACCAAAAACAUUCCUUACAGGAAGAUGAUCAUCGUAGACCAAGAAUGGAUGAACAAGGUGCGGUGAGACCUGUUUCUCUAUAUGCUCAUUAUAAAAACCAAUAAAAGGGGAAUUCUUAUAUAUACUAAUUGGCAAGAGUUCAAAUUCACUGCUUUUCAUGUGGAGAUCCAGAUGUCUCGCUGCCCAGAAGUGUUUUCUUUCCCUCCUGAAUAAGCUUUGCACCUUUGUUGCAGGAAAUUAAUGAUAAAUGCAUGGGCUUACUUCUGAGACUCAAUUUUAUCUCGAUCUCUGGGUCUGUCUUUAUGUGAGCACGGUGGUGUUUUAUUAUAAAUUUUAGGAAAUUCUGAAACUGGGUUCUUAAAAGUACUCAUAAUUUUCAUGAUUUUAGUUUUGCCUGAGACUUUUGCAUGUCUACCGGAGUUUAAGCAUCAUCCGACAUCCUGAUAAUUUUGCAUCUUUAGAUGCAGCUAAGGAGUACGGUCUUCUGAUCUACGAACAUCUAUGAUCAUUCUGCUCUCUUAGAUCUUAAAGUUGUCUCGGUGACAUACGAGGGUGGUCUUCUACUCCUUUUGUUACCUGCAUUUCUAAGUGUUUGUCUUUACUUUGGUCUUUCAUUCUUCGCAAUAACAUUAUAAGCGACAUUAAUAUCCUAAUUCAAAGUUGAUUUCAGAAAUUUCAUGGACAUUUCUUUCUCUUGCCUAUUGUCCUGGAUAGCCCUUUCAUCACAAUGCUGACUAGAAGUUGGAAGAAUGAACAUUCUUGUCUUGAUACUGACCUUAUAGAAAAGAACGUUAGCCAUUUAUCAUUAAAUUAUCAUAAGAUGUGACCUUGUGGGUUUGUCAUAAAUGGCUUUCUCAGGUUGAGGAAAAAAUUAUUUUCUACUCCUAUUUGUGAUGACUUAAGGAUGCUGAAUUUUUUCAGUUUUUUCAUGUACAAGUUAUUCUUUUAUUCUACAAUAUGGCACAUUUAAAUUAACCUUGCAUUUCUAAGGUAAGUACCACCAAAUUUGGUGCAUACUGUCGCUUUACACAGUUUAAUGUGCUGGUGUCUGGUAGUACUUUUCUAAGUAUUUUUGUUCCUCUCUUUCUUUAUAGGCGUUGUUGGUCUGUCAUUUACUUAUGAUGGCUUUGGGUAUGGGGUCCCAAUAACUCAGGCCCCCUAUAAUAAAUUGAGAAUUAUUCUUUGUUUUUGUCCUUGUUUGAGAAAUAUUUCUGAAGAUUGAUGUUAUUUUUUUUUCUUUGAAUGCUUUGUAAGUUUUAAACUAACCAAUUUAGCUGUAUUCUGUAUCAUUGACUUAUUUAUUAUUUCUGCAUUUUUUGAUUUACAAUUUGUGUUUUUCUGGAGAUUUAUACAUUCCAUGAAAGUUUAUAUAUAUGUGUGUGUGUGUGUGUGUGUGUGUGUGUGUGUGUGUGUGUGUGUGUGUGUUUAAGCAGCUGUUCACUAUAUACCAAUACAGAUCUUUUUAUUUAUGUAAUGUUAAUUGUGAGUUGGAGCUGUAGGAAAUGAGACAAGAGAUAAGAAUUAAAACAAGAGUCUUGAUCAACAAUAAGGAGGCUGCUUUUACUAGGACGUUGUUUCGAGCUGGCCAGCAGCUCACAUGUCCGGGUUCGAGCCUGGGAGGCAAUCUGGAGCUGAAAGAAAAGAGGGAACCUAGGCAGGUUGAGAAAUAAUGGAACCAAGACAUGCUAGUCUGUUCAAGGUUCAAGUGUUUAAUGGCAACUGCGCUUUUAAAAAGUGGGGGGGAGGCCCAUUCCCACCAAUUCAUCCUUGGAGCCUGAAACCAGCUGCAGGUGAUGACUGCAGGAUAGGGGGUAGUCUCAGGAGUAGCCCCGGGGGGCCUCUCAGCAGGUAGCAGUAUCUUGAAGAGGAACAGCAACAGUGGCUGAACAAUAGAGUGAUCUAGGGAGGAAGGAUCCACCUGAGGUAAUCUCCUUAGUGGCAGCAAAGUCAAGGUCUGGCUCAGCCUGCUUCAGGCUUGUGGGAAGUUACAGGAGGUGACAUAGUGGGCAUUAUGGCAGACAAGUCAUUUCCUUAACUGGGACCUUAGCGAAUUGAAAUGUCUCUCUGCUUCCUCAUAGGGUAAUUGUGAGAAGAAAAAUGAAAUAUGGGACAGAAAAUCCCAGGUCAAGUUGGAGGUCAGUUUUCAGGAACCAGGAUUUGGCCUGAAUUGUUGUUUUCAAAUCCUUAUCUGUUGACUCUUGAGGAAGGAAGGCAAAGAGACUCAAUAGAAGGCUCAGCAUUGUAUCUCAAGAAAGGUUUAUUUUGUCCAAAAAGAUACUUGGGAAUUGAACAUGAAUACGGGACACAGUCCAUGUUCAUAAAGGCCAUCAGCCCUCCAGAAGAGAGGAUGGAUCUGGAGAGAAGAGAUGGGAUUCCAUGAAGAGGAUCCAGUAGUUGGCUGGACCACACAACCCUGUUUCAGGAGGCAGUGGGAAGUUCGUUUGUGUCUUCAAGAUGUUGGAAGGGGCUUGAGUUCUUUCUUUCUUUCUUUCUUUCUUUCUUUCUUUCUUUCUUUCUUUCUUUCUUUCUUUCUUCCUUCCUUCCUUCCUUCCUUUCCUUCCUUCCUUCCUUCCUUCCUUCCUUCCUUCCUUCCUUCCUUCCUUCCUCCCUCCCUCCCUCCCUUCCUCUCCCUCUCCCUUAUUUUUUCAUCUAUAGCCUUAAUCCAGGGAGCUGCACAAUAUGCUCUUCAGUUUCCUUUCUUCCUUUAUUUUCAGUCAGCAGCAGAAGCUCUUGAGAGAAGCACUGUCUAAAUAUAAGAGUACAAUUAAGAGAAAUGCAUUCCUUUUCCUUAGGAAAACUUCCGUGAUGCACGGACACUUCUUACUCAGCAAGUUUAAUUGUUGCCUCUUUAAGGAAGAUUUCAUUUCCCCAGAGCUGAGGCAGAGGGAUGAUGCUAGGAGUCUGGUAAGCCCCUAAGAGUGAGAGAUAUGGCAUUUUUGUGGACAGAGAGACCUUACAGGACCAGCACUUCUCUUUCCCAAGAGGGUUGUGCUCUUCUGCAGUUUUAGAACAUGGUCCCCCUGUGAUUGCCUGGGACCUUCCUCCCAGGCGGGAGCUCACUUAAUCUGAUCUAACCUAAACUAUAGCUAUCAGGGUGUGAGGAACACCAUCUUCUAAAAAAAAUUAUUUCUUAUUAUAACCGCUUUUACUCUACAAAUUAAUGUGAUUCAUUAUAUUCAUUAAUAAAUGUUUCUUUAAUAA